Molecule: ribosomal RNA, 468 nt
Filed under: uncultured bacterium
Lineage: Bacteria
Description: partial 16S ribosomal RNA
Rfam family: Bacterial small subunit ribosomal RNA
Source: RNAcentral
GACGAACGCUGGCGGCGUGCUUAACACAUGCAAGUCGAACGGAAAGGCCCUGCUUUUGUGGGGUGCUCGAGUGGCGAACGGGUGAGUAACACGUGAGUAACCUGCCCUUGACUUUGGGAUAACUUCAGGAAACUGGGGCUAAUACCGGAUAGGAGCUCCUGCUGCAUGGUGGGGGUUGGAAAGUUUCGGCGGUUGGGGAUGGACUCGCGGCUUAUCAGCUUGUUGGUGGGGUAGUGGCUUACCAAGGCUUUGACGGGUAGCCGGCCCGAGAGGGUGACCGGCCACAUUGGGACUGAGAUACGGACCAGACUCCUACGGGAGGCAGCAGUGGGGAAUAUUGCACAAUGGGCGGAAGCCUGAUGCAGCAACGCCGCGUGCGGGAUGACGGCCUUCGGGUUGUAAACCGCUUUCGCCUGUGACGAAGCGUGAGUGGCGGUAAUGGGUAAAGAAGCACCGGCUAACUACGUG